Molecule: ribosomal RNA, 2851 nt
Filed under: Salmonella enterica subsp. enterica serovar Enteritidis
Lineage: Bacteria; Pseudomonadati; Pseudomonadota; Gammaproteobacteria; Enterobacterales; Enterobacteriaceae
Description: bacterial LSU rRNA
Rfam family: Bacterial large subunit ribosomal RNA
Source: RNAcentral
GGGUUGUGAGGUUAAGCGACUAAGCGUACACGGUGGAUGCCCUGGCAGUCAGAGGCGAUGAAGGGCGUGCUAAUCUGCGAUAAGCGCCGGUAAGGUGAUAUGAACCGUUAUAACCGGCGAUACCCGAAUGGGGAAACCCAGUGUGAUUCGUCACACUAUCAUUAACUGAAUCCAUAGGUUAAUGAGGCGAACCGGGGGAACUGAAACAUCUAAGUACCCCGAGGAAAAGAAAUCAACCGAGAUUCCCCCAGUAGCGGCGAGCGAACGGGGAGGAGCCCAGAGCCUGAAUCAGCAUGUGUGUUAGUGGAAGCGUCUGGAAAGGCGCGCGAUACAGGGUGACAGCCCCGUACACAAAAGCGCAUGUGCUGUGAGCUCGAUGAGUAGGGCGGGACACGUGGUAUCCUGUCUGAAUAUGGGGGGACCAUCCUCCAAGGCUAAAUACUCCUGACUGACCGAUAGUGAACCAGUACCGUGAGGGAAAGGCGAAAAGAACCCCGGCGAGGGGAGUGAAAAAGAACCUGAAACCGUGUACGUACAAGCAGUGGGAGCNNNNNNNNNNNNNNNNNNNNNNNNNNNNNNNNGGCGUUAAGUUGCAGGGUAUAGACCCGAAACCCGGUGAUCUAGCCAUGGGCAGGUUGAAGGUUGGGUAACACUAACUGGAGGACCGAACCGACUAAUGUUGAAAAAUUAGCGGAUGACCUGUGGCUGGGGGUGAAAGGCCAAUCAAACCGGGAGAUAGCUGGUUCUCCCCGAAAGCUAUUUAGGUAGCGCCUCGUGAAUUCAUCUCCGGGGGUAGAGCACUGUUUCGGCUAGGGGGCCAUCCCGGCUUACCAACCCGAUGCAAACUGCGAAUACCGGAGAAUGUUAUCACGGGAGACACACGGCGGGUGCUAACGUCCGUCGUGAAGAGGGAAACAACCCAGACCGCCAGCUAAGGUCCCAAAGUCAUGGUUAAGUGGGAAACGAUGUGGGAAGGCCCAGACAGCCAGGAUGUUGGCUUAGAAGCAGCCAUCAUUUAAAGAAAGCGUAAUAGCUCACUGGUCGAGUCGGCCUGCGCGGAAGAUGUAACGGGGCUAAACCAUGCACCGAAGCUGCGGCAGCGACACUGUGUGUUGUUGGGUAGGGGAGCGUUCUGUAAGCCUGUGAAGGUGUGUCGUGAGGCAUGCUGGAGGUAUCAGAAGUGCGAAUGCUGACAUAAGUAACGAUAAAGCGGGUGAAAAGCCCGCUCGCCGGAAGACCAAGGGUUCCUGUCCAACGUUAAUCGGGGCAGGGUGAGUCGACCCCUAAGGCGAGGCCGAAAGGCGUAGUCGAUGGGAAACGGGUUAAUAUUCCCGUACUUGGUGUUACUGCGAAGGGGGGACGGAGAAGGCUAUGUUGGCCGGGCGACGGUUGUCCCGGUUUAAGCGUGUAGGUGUGUGUUCCAGGUAAAUCCGGUUCACUUUAACACUGAGGCGUGACGACGAGGCACUACGGUGCUGAAGCAACAAAUGCCCUGCUUCCAGGAAAAGCCUCUAAGCAUCAGGUAACAUCAAAUCGUACCCCAAACCGACACAGGUGGUCAGGUAGAGAAUACCAAGGCGCUUGAGAGAACUCGGGUGAAGGAACUAGGCAAAAUGGUGCCGUAACUUCGGGAGAAGGCACGCUGACACGUAGGUGAAGUGAUUUACUCAUGGAGCUGAAGUCAGUCGAAGAUACCAGCUGGCUGCAACUGUUUAUUAAAAACACAGCACUGUGCAAACACGAAAGUGGACGUAUACGGUGUGACGCCUGCCCGGUGCCGGAAGGUUAAUUGAUGGGGUCAGCGCAAGCGAAGCUCCUGAUCGAAGCCCCGGUAAACGGCGGCCGUAACUAUAACGGUCCUAAGGUAGCGAAAUUCCUUGUCGGGUAAGUUCCGACCUGCACGAAUGGCGUAAUGAUGGCCAGGCUGUCUCCACCCGAGACUCAGUGAAAUUGAACUCGCUGUGAAGAUGCAGUGUACCCGCGGCAAGACGGAAAGACCCCGUGAACCUUUACUAUAGCUUGACACUGAACAUUGAGCCUUGAUGUGUAGGAUAGGUGGGAGGCUUUGAAGUGUGGACGCCAGUCUGCAUGGAGCCGACCUUGAAAUACCACCCUUUAAUGUUUGAUGUUCUAACGUGGACCCGUUACCCGGGUUGCGGACAGUGUCUGGUGGGUAGUUUGACUGGGGCGGUCUCCUCCUAAAGAGUAACGGAGGAGCACGAAGGUUGGCUAAUCCUGGUCGGACAUCAGGAGGUUAGUGCAAUGGCAUAAGCCAGCUUGACUGCGAGCGUGACGGCGCGAGCAGGUGCGAAAGCAGGUCAUAGUGAUCCGGUGGUUCUGAAUGGAAGGGCCAUCGCUCAACGGAUAAAAGGUACUCCGGGGAUAACAGGCUGAUACCGCCCAAGAGUUCAUAUCGACGGCGGUGUUUGGCACCUCGAUGUCGGCUCAUCACAUCCUGGGGCUGAAGUAGGUCCCAAGGGUAUGGCUGUUCGCCAUUUAAAGUGGUACGCGAGCUGGGUUUAGAACGUCGUGAGACAGUUCGGUCCCUAUCUGCCGUGGGCGCUGGAGAACUGAGGGGGGCUGCUCCUAGUACGAGAGGACCGGAGUGGACGCAUCACUGGUGUUCGGGUUGUCAUGCCAAUGGCACUGCCCGGUAGCUAAAUGCGGAAGAGAUAAGUGCUGAAAGCAUCUAAGCACGAAACUUGCCCCGAGAUGAGUUCUCCCUGAGACUUAGAGUCUCCUGAAGGAACGUUGAAGACGACGACGUUGAUAGGCCGGGUGUGUAAGCGCAGCGAUGCGUUGAGCUAACCGGUACUAAUGAACCGUGAGGCUUAACCUUACAACGCCGAAG